This 73-nucleotide transfer RNA is filed under the name Camelus bactrianus (Bactrian camel). It matches the Rfam family "tRNA". Rfam says of the family: Transfer RNA (tRNA) molecules are approximately 80 nucleotides in length. The record is from Rfam by way of RNAcentral. Lineage: Eukaryota; Metazoa; Chordata; Mammalia; Artiodactyla; Camelidae. RNAcentral also lists the same sequence under 2 other names.
GAGGGUAUAGCUCAAGUGGUAGAGCACAUGCUUAGCACACAUGAGGUCCCUGGUUCAAUCCCCAGUACCCUCU